UUUAAAACUAGUUUUUUCUACAGUUGCAAUGUUAUUUGAUGUCUCUCUUUGUUGCUUUGGUCGUGAUUGGUUAAUCUAAACGUCAUCCAGGAAUCUGGCCAAUGACAACUGGGCACGCCUCCUACCGCUCAAAUUUGAAUUUACACACCAGUCCGUUGCUGCUCUGUUUAUCUGCAGUCCUGCUCCGUUCAGUGCAGUAGUAAUGGCUUUUACAUGGAUUAUCACAUAUCUGACAGAUGAAUUCUUAUUUUGACCGAUUUUGAGUUAUGCGGUGCAGAUUGAGAACGAAAAAGCGCGAAUAUGAACACAGACACAAUGGCUAAUGGACACAUAUUGCAAACGGCAGAAGAGAGGACAUGAAACCACCAUUCUUGGACUCUGAAGAAUACUAUGCAAACCAUAUGCUUUUGGAUCUACUGUUAAGUUUUUGUAAUAAAGCUGAGGUUUUGGGAUUGAAAAUCUUCUGCCACAUGAUCCGUAAAAGUGAGUAUACAUGUCAUGCUAACAUUAAUUCUUUAAAUGAUCAUGUGCUAUUAUAUGUGCUGAAAUGUGAACACAGCAAAGCAGGUAAACUCUGCACCAAGGCACCAAUCUGAUUCAAAGUUCAUUCUUGAGUUUAGCUCACUCAACAUGAA
Molecule: long non-coding RNA, 635 nt
Organism: Onychostoma macrolepis
Lineage: Eukaryota; Metazoa; Chordata; Actinopteri; Cypriniformes; Cyprinidae
Exons: 3
Source: RefSeq, a predicted model, not a curated record